Molecule: long non-coding RNA, 123 nt
Organism: Sander lucioperca (pikeperch)
Lineage: Eukaryota; Metazoa; Chordata; Actinopteri; Perciformes; Percidae
Exons: 3
Source: RefSeq, a predicted model, not a curated record
ACACUGAUUACAUACUUCUAACACUGCUAUUAUGAGGUAUCACCAUAUGUCAUUCUGUUUUCUUUAGAUUAGAUUAUAUGAUAUCAAGGGGAAUCGCUAUACUUAAUAAUCAUGGGUGUUGUG